RNAcentral lists this ribosomal RNA (468 nucleotides) under uncultured bacterium. Its description in RNAcentral is "partial 16S ribosomal RNA". It matches the Rfam family "Bacterial small subunit ribosomal RNA", at positions 28 to 507 of the family's 1533-position model. The record is from RNAcentral.
GACGAACGCUGGCGGCGCGCCUAACACAUGCAAGUCGAACGAUUAGAGCCCCUUCGGGUGUGUAUCACGUGGCGCAAGGCGGAGUAAAACGUGGGAAAACUGUCCCCUUCAUUGUGAUAGAACCGGAGGAAAGUGGGGAAAACAGAAUACAUGGAGACUUCCGCAUGGAAGAGGCGAGAAAGCUCCCGGCGGGUGGGGUUGGACCCGCGGCUGAUCAGCUUGUUGGGGGGGUACGGGCUUACCAAGGCAUGGAGGGGUAGCCGGGCUGAGAGGGUGACCGGCCAGAUUGGGACUGAGAUACGGCCCAGACUCCUACGGGAGGCAGCAGUGGGGAAUCUUGCACAAUGGGCGGAAGCCUGAUGCAGCGACGCCGCGUGCGGGAUGAAGGCCUUCGGGUUGUAAACCGCUUUCAGCAGUGACGAGGCGAAAGUGACGGUACUGGCAGAAGAAGCCCCGGCUAACUACGUG